Molecule: transfer RNA, 73 nt
Filed under: Candidatus Blackburnbacteria bacterium
Lineage: Bacteria; Candidatus Blackburniibacteriota
Description: tRNA-Arg
Rfam family: tRNA
About the family: Transfer RNA (tRNA) molecules are approximately 80 nucleotides in length.
Source: RNAcentral
GCACUUGUAGCUCAACGGAUAGAGCAUUGGAUUCCGGAUCCAAAGGUUGGUGGUUCAAGUCCACUCAGGUGCA